GACGUAGGGGACGAGCGUUGUCCGGAUUCAUUGGGCGUAAAGCGCGCGUAGGCGGUUUGGUAAGUCGGAUGUGAAAACCAGAGGCUCAACCUCUGGCCUGCAUCCGAUACUGCCCGACUAGAGGUAGGUAGGGGAGAUCGGAAUUCCUGGUGUAGCGGUGAAAUGCGUAGAUAUUGGGAGGAACACCAGUGGCGAAGGCGGCUCACUGGACCGGUACUGACGCUGAUGCGCGAAAGCGUGGGGAGCAAACGGG
This 253-nucleotide ribosomal RNA is filed under the name uncultured bacterium. Its description in RNAcentral is "partial 16S ribosomal RNA". It matches the Rfam family "Bacterial small subunit ribosomal RNA", at positions 524 to 776 of the family's 1533-position model. The record is from RNAcentral.